AAACAAAAAACUUUUAUUAGUGCAAACGCAUCAUCCUCAGGCACAGGUACACAAAAUUGUUUAGGAAAGGUCCAAUGUAUGCAAUUGAGAAUACACUGGAUAUUAAGGAUGAAAUACACUAUGUGGAAGAUUUGCUAGCAGAGGUACCAAUAGAUUUCCUGGAAAAAGAAAAGUUAAGGUGGGAGUAUGUAAGAGAAAAAGCCAAGAUUAGAGAAAGUAGGAAUAAGAGAAGCUUAAAUAAGCAGGACUUAUAUCUACUUAAAAAACUAAGUGAUGAAUGAGAGACUAUAGCAUUAUAAUCACAAGAGAAGAUAAAACUAAAAAGAUGGCGCUAAUCAGAGAAGAGGAAUACAAGCAUUACUUACAAGAAUACAUCGAAGAUUUGGGUCCUACACUCUUAAAGAAAGAUCCUACCCAGAAUUUGCGGUUAGAGGUCAGUAAACUAUGUAAGGCUAAAGAUUUUCCUGAGAUUUGGAGACACUACCCCGUGAAAGCACCUACAUGCACGCGUCUUUUCGCAUACAUGAAAACACAUAAGAACCCACCACGAUUAGACCAAUUGUAGAGAAGAUUAACAGCCCUUCAUACCGCCUUGAAAAGAAAAUAGCAUCCUGGGCAAUCACCUUGCUUGGCCGGGCCGAUGCAUCGACCGCCGUCGCGGUUCGGGCGUUGCGGAGAC
This 679-nucleotide long non-coding RNA is filed under the name Androctonus crassicauda. The record is from RNAcentral. Lineage: Eukaryota; Metazoa; Arthropoda; Arachnida; Scorpiones; Buthidae.